AAGCUAAAAAUCAUAAAUUGAACAUCUUUCUGAUGCUUCUUCACAGAAAGAAGUGACAAAAGUGGCAACAACGGAGUUGUCGAUUAAUAAUAUUCAAUUCUAAAAUAUUUUUCCUUAGCUCGCAAAAAUCAGCGUCGAUAUGUAUGCAAGUUCAUACAUAUGCAUACAUAUUUACGCUAGUUCGUAGGCGAAGCUGUUACAGCGGCAAGGGAAGCGGUAACAAUCGGCAAUCGUUUGUUAGUUUCUUUCGCGUCUCGUCGCGUCAGUGCUUCGACAGAUUGAUGUGCUGAACACAUAGAAUGCGACAGACUGCAAGCGCCAUCUGAAUCUGAUAUUGAAAUACACACAUUCUUAUGGACAAAGUUAUUGAGGCAGCUGCACAACUACAUAACUGUGUCCAUAUGAACGUGAGUAUUUUAAUAUUUGACAGAUGUCGCUUGCAGUCUGCCCCGCUCAAUGUGUUCAGCAUUUGACCCUUUGACAAAACGCCAUUGGUUGACCGUGAAGACGGAGAUGCGAAAGAUGCGUGCGACACUUGUUAUUAUGAAUGCAUGUAUGUACAUACAUACAUACAUAUGUAUGUGGCUCGCAUUUGCUUUCGGAAACAUACAAAUGUGCCAAAGAAAUAAUAUACAUACAUAUGUAUAUGCCAUAGAAAUUCUAUUGGUACAAAUAUGGAAAUGAUAACGAAAUAAUGUGAAUAUGCCUAUUUAAUGAAGGUCAUUAAUUUUUUUUGAAGAAAUGAAAGGAAUGCAUGGAAGUGUUUAUAUGAGCACAUUUAAGUUCAUUUUAUAAUAGUCGAAAUUAAUAUAAUUUUUGAAAUAAUCAUUUAUUUAAAAUUAUUUUUUAUUUAAUUUUGUCACAUACAAUUUUUACCAUUUUUAGAAAAUAUAAAUAUCAAUAUAAAAUAAUCACGCAUAUGUGACAAUUAUUCAUAUAAUACAAUAUAAGCAUGCAUAUGCGAAAAUCGUUCACAUAAUACAACAUAAGCGUGCAUAUGUCACUCAGAGAAUGCUUUUUUACAUUCUCUGUGUGCCUUUGUAUAUUUUGUAUAUUUUUCUGCGAAGCAAAUUCUCUUUAUUUAUUUUCAGUCAUUUACAUAUAUUUCUGCCACUCCACGUGCUCAAUUAUGCUAAAUAGCAGCGAGCACGGCGAAUUCCCUAAUAAAAAUCUAUCAGCUCUGUUAACCGCGCAAUCGAACCAUCAUACAGAUUUCGAUUUGCACCUUCUCUAUACUUUACAUUCUCUGUUUCAAACGAUCAAAGAAAAUACGAUCACGUUAUCAGCUCGCUCGACGUUGAAACACUCACCAACCAUAUCAAUUAUUCGACAAAUGUGUGUUUUGACAAUGCAGUCAAAACAUUCUGACUCGAUAAAUUGCCUGAAAGUAUGCACGCAAUGGUGUCAAUUGCCGUAAGAGAUUUAGAUCGGUAUGCUCAACAAGCCGACCAAAUAAUGGAAAUUGGCAAUUCCAGUUCAGUUUCAACGAUUCAAGGUCAACGGUCUAAGUCAAACACCUGACUGACGGUUUCGCCGCUUUGAAGCAGACGAUUGACGUUCUCCAACGAGAAAUCAACGAAAUCAAAGUAAAUUCUUGCAGCAAUCAACAUGGCCGCAGUCAAACACCAGCACACGACAAAUUAAAGACCGCUUCGCCUCCGAUCGUCAGCGAAGCGAGCAGUCAAACAUCACGCCGUCUCUUUAUCACCGAUCGUAAGACUCAUCUUAAAUUUUUAGUCAAUACAGGAGCAGAUUUUUCAAUUCUACUUAAAUCAUCAAUUAAAGAGAAACUCAAAACAUCGAGUUAUUCGCUAUUCGCUGCCAACGGAUCAAUCAUCAACACAUACGGUAAAUGCGUUUCUAAUUUCAUCACUUAUGAGCCGGUAUUUUCAAUCAACAGCGACAACGUAUGUAAAAAGCUGCUAACUGAAUUUAAAGAUCUAACGACACCGCCUUAUUGUGACAAGACAAAAGCAACGAAAACAGCUGUUCAUCAUCAAAUCAUCACCAACGGACAACCAGUUUAUUUACGCGCUCGUCGUUUAAAUCAAGAGAAACUCGUCAACGCUAAGAAAGAAUUUGAGUACAUGAUCAACAUGGGAAUUUGUCAACCAUCGCAAAGUGAAUGGGUCAGUCCAUUAAACAUGGUUCCAAAAAAGAAUAGACUUUGGCGACCGUUUGGAGAUUAUCGAUGUUUAAACACUCAAACAGGUCGUGAUCGUUAGCUAGUCAAAUGCAUUCGCGAUUUCACGCAUAAUUUAAACGGAAAGGCAAUAUUUUCGGUUCUUGAUUUGGAGAAAACUUAUUUCAACAUUCCAAUCGCCGACGAAGAUCGAAAUAAGACAGCCAUAAUCACGCCGUUUGGGUUCUUUAAAUUCAACGUUACGACCUUCGGAUUAUGCACCGCAGCGCAAAUAUUUCGACUCAUGAAUCAGAUAUUAUUCGGUUUGGACGUUGUAAUCUGCUACAUCGACGACAUUUGCAUCGCAUCGAAGAACAAAGAAGAGCAUUUAUUUGCAACAUAUUCGCAUAGUUUUGGAACGGUUAUGCGAACACGGCUUAAAAAUCAAGGUCGCUAAGUGCGAAUUCGCGCAGCAAGAGGUGUUAUUUUUAGGUUUUCGAGUCAGUAAAACCGGCAUUCGACCAUCAGCCAGCAAAGUAGACGCUGUCGCAAAUUAUCCAAAAUCAGAAAUAGCCAAGAAACUUCCUGGGAGCGAUUAACUUUGGUCACGAUUUCAUUCCUAAUGCAGCUCAAACGCAAGGCCAACUACGCGUUCUAAUCAAAGGCAACAAGAAAAAUGAUAAAUCGCCAGUUAUUAGGACAGAAGAUGCAGAAAGGGAUUUCGAAGAAUGUGAUCAGGUAUUUAUCGACGCAAUUGCGUUAAAACAUCCAUUGCCAAACUCGACGCUAGCAAUUUUUCGGUCGGAGCAGCUCUUCACCAAGUCAACGAAGAGAAAUUUGAGCCACUCGGAUCUUAUUCAAAACGAAGACCGAUCGCCAGAAGCGCUACAGCACAUAUGAUCGCUAGUUAUUAGCCACUCAGUCAAACAUUUUAAACACUUGAUUGAAGGUAGGCGCUGCACAAUUAUGACCGAUCAUAAACCAAUAACAUUCGCAUUUUUACAAAAUCCCGAGUAGACAUCGCCACGACAAUUGAAUCAUUUCGAUUUCAUCAGUCUGUACACCACUGAUAUUUGUUACAUUUCCGGGAAAGACAACAUCGUAGCCCAUUUUUUCUCACACAUCGAGAGUUUAUCAACCUGUGAAGCAAUCAAUUUUGAAGAGUUGGCUGAGAGUCAGAAAAUCGACAAGAAUUGAAUGUUUUUUUGAAGAGCAACACGUCAAGUUUACAACUAAAGUUAGUUAAUAUUCCGAACGUAACCAAAGCCAUUUUUUGUGACGUUUCAACGGAUUUUUGUCAACAAGUAUUCAACUCUGUUCACAAUAUGGCUCAUCCCAGUAAAAAGUCAACAAUCAAAGUGGUACACGCUUGUAUUUCAUGCCAAAAAUUCAAAAUUGCGCAACAGAACAGAGCAGCACUUCAGAGUUUUUCUACACCAAGUAAACGCUUCGAAUGGAUUCAUAUCAAUUUGGUCGGACCAUUGCCAGUUUCAAAAGCUAUUGUCUUACUUGCAUCGAUAGAUACACUCGUUGGCCAAUCGCUAUUCCAAUUGAAGGCAUUCAUAUCGAUACCGUCGUCAAGGCUUUAAUCAACGUUUGGAUAACUUUUUACGGUGUGCCAGCUAAAAUCACCACAGAUCAAGGCAAGCACAUCGAAGCAAAAUGAUUCAACGAAUUAACGCGUAUAUUUAGAACAAAACAUCUUCGUUCAAGUCCACGACAUCCGCAAGCCAACGGUAUGAUCGAACGUUUUCAUCGAACCAUGAAAUCAUGUCAAAACAACGAACGCUGGACCGAAACACUGUCAUUGAUCUUGCUUACCCUUCGCUCUGUGCUCAAAGGAGACAUCAAAACAACACCAUCAGAGAUGGUUUAUGGUGAGACACUCAAACUCCCAUGCGAUUUCUUCGAAAACAUCGACGACGAUAAUUUUGGCACCGAACUCGUUCAACAAUUACCCGAAUUGAUGUGGAAAAUUCAACCCGUUCCAGCGUCGAAUCACGCUAACAACAGGGUCUUCGUCUAAAAGAAUAUGCAAACUGGCACACACGGUUUCUUGAGAGAUGAUGAUGUUCGACCACCGCUUAAAACACCAUACGACGGUCCAUAUGAAAUGUUGAGCCGAAACGGCAAGACAUUUGAAAUUCUCGUCAAAGAUUACAAAGUUAGCACAGAUAGAGUCAAAGCAGCAUUUUUACCAAUCGACGAACCGCCAUCAUCAGCAUCAAACGCAAUCAUACCACCAGACACGGUCGUAUUAACAUCAAGCAAAAAUCAAACCCACUCAAACCCAAAGCGAACAACCAAGGUCAACGAAAAUCGGAAGAACCGUCAACAAACCUAAAGGAUACGUUUCUUUCUCCGACAAUUAGUAAUUACUUUUUCAUUUUUUCCGUGACUUAAUUAUCAUUCAGUCACUGGCGGGGGAGUACUGUGGCGGUUAAAUUUAAUUUACAUAAAUUUAUUUUGCAAUUUUAAUUUCAUUUCAUUUUUAAUUUUAAAAGUCACGACAAUAUCGAAAACCCACAAUACGUCAAUAUUGCAUAAUAAACGUUCAAUAAAUAUUGCCAUUCGGUAUAAAAAUAUUGAACGUGUAGCCAGCGUCAUAGAAACUGAUGACUGCUUAUUUUUUCUUUUGCCUUUUGUUAUGGCAUCUGUAGGAGUUGAAUUUAGCAUCAGAAGCCAUAAUAAUGUUUACAAAACACGUUUAUAAAAAUACUCGCGGUAUAACGAUUGCAAAACAUAGCUUUUUAGGUACGUGUGUUUAUUUCAUUCACCGACACCCACAAACUCACCAGAGUACUUGGCAAAUGCAAAUAAUCGCGAAGGGCUAUUGAAAAUUUGGGCCCCCAAAUCGCCAUGUCCUCUGAGACAUAAAUCGAUUAUGCUGCGGAAGUCUUGACCAGAAGUAUGUAUGUAUAAUUCUGCCCGUAUAACUACGCCAGGAGCUAGAAGCACACAUCGCGUCAACAAGUGGGACAGACAUCUGUUAUCCAAUGAGAUAAUGACAAAACUCAGAGAGAAGAGACAUCUUCGGCAUGCAUGGCAGGUCAAAAGAAAUCCUACUGACAAAUCGUGCCGCAAAGGAGCUGAAGCAUGUUCUCUGGAAAUUGUGCAACAUGUCCCUAGAGACAUUUCUGGUUGCUGCCAAGCCAGGAUAUCCAGUAAACAAUUUUUGGAAUGUGAUUAGAUAAAACAAUAAGCCGAUAUCUAGAUGCCCACCAAUUUUAAACAGCAGAGGUCAGUGUUGCAGGACUAAUGCAGAAAAAAGCCGAAGUGUUUGCCAGACACCUCCAAAACAUGAUUAAAAAACACACACACUAUGGUCUCCACGACGUUGUUGGAACGAAUUCAAUGAACCCACGAAGUACUCGAAAAUUCUUUCAGUAUUGACUUCUAAAACUUGAAAAGAAUCAGGUUUAUUGCUAAAGACAAAAGACUUCAAAUAACCUCACAAGAAGUAGCCUAAUGUGCUUAAAUCAAAACUUUUUCAAGGCCAUUCAAUAACACAAUUAGUCAAAUUAAUCGAAUCUCUAAACUUUUCUCGCAGUACAAGUAAAUCGGUUGUAGCACGUAGCCCCGUUUUGUUAGAACCAGAUUGAUCUUGACAAGGAACCGAUGAUUCCACCAGAGCAAGAAACACACCAAACUGUCAAUUUAGGUAAAUGAAAUGGGUGUUCAGCAAUAAUUUGUGGAUUUUCCUCGCACCAGAAUCUAUAUAUUAGCGUAUUUAUCGCAUCACCCAGAUGAAAGUGCGACUAUUCCGAAAAGAUGAUUUACUUAAUUGUUUUUUGUAAUUCUUACAAUAAAAUUUAGUAAUUUUAAACGUU
Long non-coding RNA from Bactrocera dorsalis (oriental fruit fly), 5952 nucleotides. RefSeq lists it as uncharacterized. The record is from RefSeq and is a predicted model, not a curated record. The transcript has 2 exons. NCBI's taxonomy places the organism in Eukaryota, Metazoa, Arthropoda, Insecta, Diptera, Tephritidae.